AGAUUAAACUGAAGAGUUUGAUCCUGGCUCAGAUUGAACGCUGGCGGCAUGCCUUACACAUGCAAGUCGAACGGCAGCACGGAGCUUGCUC
Molecule: ribosomal RNA, 91 nt
Rfam family: Bacterial small subunit ribosomal RNA